Molecule: ribosomal RNA, 253 nt
Filed under: uncultured bacterium
Lineage: Bacteria
Description: partial 16S ribosomal RNA
Rfam family: Bacterial small subunit ribosomal RNA
Source: RNAcentral
GACGAACCGUGCGAACGUUGUUCGGAAUCACUGGGCUUAAAGGGCGCGUAGGCGGCAGACCAAGUCCGGGGUGAAAGCCCCCAGCUUAACUGGGGAAGUGCCUCGGAUACUGGAUUGCUCGAGGGAGGUAGGGGUCGAGGGAACUUCUGGUGGAGCGGUGAAAUGCGUUGAUAUCAGAAGGAACGCCGGUGGCGAAAGCGCUCGACUGGAUCUCUUCUGACGCUGAGGCGCGAAAGCUAGGGGAGCAAACGGG